CUCUUUAGCUUGGAGAGGAGGACACUAAGUGGUCACCUCAUUAAUGUUUACAAAUAUAUAAAGGGUGAGUGUCACAAGGAUGGAGCCAGGCUCUUUUUGGUGACAACCAAUGAUAAGACAAGGGGUAAUGGAUGCAAACUGGAACACAAGAGGUUCCACUUAAAUUUGAGAAGAAACUUCUUCUCAGUGAGGGUGACAGAACACUGGAACAGGCUGCCCAGGGGGGUUGUGGAGUCUCCUACUCUGGACACAUUCCUGUGUAGCCUUGUCUAGGUGUUCCUGCUCCAGCAGGGGGAUUGGACUACAUGAUCUUUGAGGUCCCUUCCAAUCCCUAACAUUCUAUGAUUCUGUGAUGCAGCUUCACAGGACAGUCUCAAGGCUGAAAAGGUUAAAUACUUCUUAGCAGAAGAAUUAAAACUUUAUUACUUGUUGUGUGACUUACCUCCAUCACCACAGUGUGGGAACAUCUCAGUGUAUUUAUCCCCAAUGUCUUUGUGAGGUUGAGAAAUACUAUUUUAUAACCAGAAUGGAGUCAUAGGAAGAGAUUUGCCUUAUGUCCCACUGAAGUCCCAGGUUGGCCUUGUAAACUUCUGAUCAUCUUAAGAGAUUUUCAGUUGCUGAGAAGAAAAUCUUUUGAAGGAGAACCUGCAAGUUUGAGGGAUAAUGAAUAAGGGAAGAGUUCAGUUCAUGAUACUUCUACUAAAGAUCUGUGUAGUAAAAGUUAGCCUUAUUGACAUGACAAAAACAAUAAACUGCUUCCAAAAAAUACUUUGUCUCUUGAAAAGAACCAAGAAACAGUGCUUUCCUUCUGUUUCUUCCAGUCUUCAAAUGCUUCACGUAACUACAAAAGACACAAGAGUUUCAGAUAGGUUUGAUUUUUCAAGUAGAUAGUGUCCUUUUAAUGCCAAAGAAUCAUACAUUUCAUUAGGCUCUGCAGUAUGAACAAGGAGUAAGACAUAGAAACGUUUGCUAAUAAAGAGGUGACCCUAACAAGCCCCAGCAUCUGAAGGGAAAGAUAAGAGCCUGAAGGAUUAUCAUUACCUGGACACAGACUACAGCUAAUAUAAUAAUUUGCAAAAGCAGAGAAACUAAUUUAAUUUUUAUGUUUAAUGACUUAUAAUUAUUUCCCUCUACAACCCCUCCUUUGCAAACUUUGUGUUUGCAUUGGAGCAUGAGACCUCUUGUGUUUCCAGAUCACCUUUUGUCCUUGAGGUGGCUUAUCAAAGUGAACAACUGGUGCUUGAUAACACCUUCAAAUGUAAUAUUUAACGUAUCAGUUUCCCAGCUCCCUCCCUUGUUAUAUAAGAACAAUUAUUUGCACUUGAAAUUCUGAACAUGCUGUUUUUACCAGGGCAUGUAACUUGGGAAUUCCAAGGAAUCUGCUGGAAUAGAAUUUCCAAGCACUAAGCAAAUAUUUGUACACAGGGUGACGCAACAAAAUGGAUCAGCUAGACGAGCGCUUGCAAGGAUUAAUACACAGAAAUCAAAGCAAGUGGUUAUAAGCUGUUUGGGGCAGAGACAGUUCUCCACAGUGCCUGGCUGUAGACUGAGCAGCUAACCCGUUGUGCUUUUCCAGCGUAUGAGAAGAGGUCCUGGGACGUGGCGUGAGGAAAUGGCACAGGCAGAGCAGAGUGGCACAGCUGGUUCCAAGCCUUCUUCACCAUGGUCCAGGCACAGCAUGGCCCAGCACCACUGCCUUCUUCCGGUGGCAUCUGAGGCACAAGUGACGGAGUGGGGUUAUGGGAGAAGUGUCCGGGUGGGAACAGGGUAGGGAGAAGACGGUGAGGAAAAUGCUUGGAAUUAGGAAGGCAGCUCCUUCCUGCUCGCAAUUCUGCUGUAGCCGUUGCCUCCUGGCAGUAUCCCUCCCAGCGCUGCCCACAGCAUUUCCAUCUCCCCUGCUGCCAUAUGCCUUAUGUGUCAGUGCUGCAGAAGUGGAAAUAAAUAAUUCACAACUUGUUGGGAGAGUGUGCAAGGCCCAGAAUGUGCCUUUGUGAUACAGAAGAAGAGACAUUAAAGAGCUGCCAAUCUAAUUAUGAAAUGUUUAAUCCUUUCUCAGCCUCUGUUUCAUAGCUUUGUGCAUAAAGCUUAUUAUUAUUUAUAACAGAAAUUGCCAAAUUGUGGGGGACUACGGUGGGCCUGUGGGUUCCCUGAUGGAGGGUAUGGGAACAGAGAUUGACCUUGAAGAUAUUAAGGUGUACCCAUGAAAAAGAAGAGAGUAAAAUAGUAACAUUGACAAUAGCAAAAUUAGCCAAUUAUAUGUUACUAUUGCAGCCUAUAACCAGUAUCAAAAAGACACAUGAGCUGGUAAAGACUAUAUAAAAAGGCAUUUGUGGCAAUAAAUGGAGACUGCUGUUUGUACAUAAGAAGAACUUUGUCUAUGUCGUUUGUCCGUCUCAGUCGCGACACCAAAUGCUCGCUAAGUAUCAUCCAGUGCAUAGAAAGGAAGCAUCACUCUACAGAAGAAUUUGUUAUUUUUGAAGUUCCAGUCCUACAGGUUUUCAAAUGUCACUGCACAUGACUGGAGACUUAUAGACUCUAACUAAUAACUUUACAGAUGAACAGUCCCAGGAAACUCAAUGCAUUUAAUUCAUGUGCAUAAGUAUUUACAGAAACAAGAUCCAAUUGUUGUGGAAAUCCAUGUAUUUUGUAUAUUUGUAAUUUAUUCUGUCUGAGCCAUUGUCUCCUGUCUGUUGUGAUGACACUUUCAUUUAUUUUUGGGUGGAAACAAGCUGGUUUAGGUUUUGCUUCCAAAUGCUUCAAAAUAUUUUGUUUCCAAAUGCUUCUCUGUAAUUAUUUGUCUUUUUAGGUGUCAUCUUGACAUCUGUACUCUGUAAAAUAUAACCUUCUGAGCCUGGAAUGCUAUUCUUGUAGCUGUAAGAUUUUAUAAUAGCAUUAUAUGUAUCUCUGUCCUUUAUAUAUCAUGCUCUUAUUAAAUAAAGCUUUUGCAAGUUCAUUAAUAUCAUAAGGAGAGUCUCAAGUCUCAGCUUAAAGUCUCAAAUGCAUGUUGCUCAUAUUUGGGGAGCUUUACACUGUGUUCUGAGAAUCUAUAGUAACAUCUCAUUUACAAUAGCAAGAUACAAUAAAAUAACCUAG
Columba livia (rock pigeon) is the source of this 3093-nucleotide long non-coding RNA. RefSeq lists it as uncharacterized. The record is from RefSeq and is a predicted model, not a curated record. The transcript is spliced from 3 exons. Lineage: Eukaryota; Metazoa; Chordata; Aves; Columbiformes; Columbidae.